AAGCUCGUAGUUGAAUUUCGGGAUUAGUACGUCGGUCGUGCCUUAGGUACGUACUGGUGUUACUGGUUCCUACCUUCCGACGAACCAUCAUGUCUUUAAUUUGGUGUGGUGGGGAAUCAGGACUGUUACUUUGAAAAAAUUAGAGUGUUUAAAGCAGGCUCGCGCUUGAAUACAUUAGCAUGGAAUAAUGAAAUAGGACGUUGAUCCUAUUUUGUUGGUUUCUAGGAUUGACGUAAUGAUUAAUAGGGAUAGUUGGG
This 257-nucleotide ribosomal RNA is filed under the name uncultured Glomus. Its description in RNAcentral is "partial 18S ribosomal RNA". It matches the Rfam family "Eukaryotic small subunit ribosomal RNA", at positions 624 to 886 of the family's 1831-position model. The record is from RNAcentral. Lineage: Eukaryota; Fungi; Glomeromycota; Glomeromycetes; Glomerales; Glomeraceae.